AACGCACGGACAUUUGUGCUAGUAUAUUCCUAUGUAUUCAGCCAAUCUAUUUCCGGAGCGGGGCCCGCCUACCUACCCCAAUUAAUGUCACGGGCGUCAUCCCAGAGUAACCGGCUCAGACGGGCCUGCAACCAAGGGCCACGGCUCAGCCCCCAUCCCACUAACGGCGCCGUCCACACCAGCCCCUUAUUUACUGCAACUCACCAACCACCCCCUCCUCAAGAUCCUUCCUGCUCUUCUCCUCUCCUCAUUCUCUUCAACCAACGCGCCGCAAGAAACCAGAUCGCCGGUCAUGACCUCCUCAUCUUCUUCCUCGCGCCCUAGGGAGAUACUCCUGCUCAUUCCUUGUCCUGAUUGUGGUGGCUAGGUCGUCACCUUCGUCGUCCCGGCCCUCCCGGGCUGGAGUCCGGUUCUACAAGUGCUUCAACAAAAUGCUGUACUCUGUUCAUUCAUGAGAUCCAGUUACACGUACCUGCCGGAGCUGAGUCGCCAUGGCCUCUCCCACCGGCACGGAUUGCAGCAGCCUCUAUCAGUGCAUCCAGCUUCGUCUCUCCACCAGUGAUCUCGCCGGGAGCAGCAUUUCCCUGCCGGCACCGAGAUCGAGCACCAAGCCCCACAUCGGCAGAUCUACCUGCUCAGCCACAGAUUCAGCAGAUGCACAUUGGUGCUCCUCGCCGGCACUAACCACCUGCUUGUCCUGGCGUUGUUGGUCCUAAUUUUGGGCAGCAAACCAGUUAAACGGUCCUUUAGCUAAUUAGCCUGAGUGUUGUCCCAAAUGUACCACGAACUAUGCAAUCUGUCAUUUAGAUUUGGAAGUACGCGCUAAGCCCUUUGUCAUCAGCCCUGAUGGUUCUUUUGUGCCUGUAUAUAGUCUGCUGUAAUCAUGGGUUCUACUAAUAAAAUACGACCGGCGCCACACAUGGAGUAGUACUAAGCUCUGCAAA
This is a long non-coding RNA of Triticum aestivum (bread wheat), 944 nucleotides long. RefSeq lists it as uncharacterized. Lineage: Eukaryota; Viridiplantae; Streptophyta; Magnoliopsida; Poales; Poaceae. The transcript is spliced from 2 exons. The record is from RefSeq and is a predicted model, not a curated record.